RNAcentral lists this ribosomal RNA (497 nucleotides) under uncultured bacterium. Its description in RNAcentral is "partial 16S ribosomal RNA". It matches the Rfam family "Bacterial small subunit ribosomal RNA", at positions 28 to 507 of the family's 1533-position model. The record is from RNAcentral.
GAUGAACGCUGGCGGCAUGCCUAAUACAUGCAAGUCGAGCGAACGGACGAGAAGCUCGCGUCUCUGAGGUUAGCGGCGGGCGGGCGAGUAACACGUGGGUAACCUACCUAUAAGACAGGGAGAACUACGGGAAACCGGAGCGAAUAACGGAUGAUAGUCUGAACCGCAGGGUUCAAAAGUGAAAGACAGUCUUGCUGUGACUUAGAGAGGGAUCCGCGCUGCAUUAGCUAGUUGGGAAGGUAACGGCUUACCAAGGCAACGAUGCAUUGCCGACCUGGGGGGGUGAUCGGCCCCACUGGAACUGAGCCACGGUCCAGACUCCUACGGGACGCAGCAGUAGAGAGUCUUCCGCUAUGGGCGAGAGCCUGACGGAGCCCCGCCGCGUGAGUUAUGAAGGUCUUCCGCUCGUAGUUCUCUGUUAUUAGUAAACGACAUAUGCGUGAGUAACUGGGCCCAUAUUGCCGGUACCUAAUCAGAAAGCCCCGGCUAACUCCGUG